GACGAACGCUGGCGGCGUGCUUAACACAUGCAAGUCGAACGGAAAGGCCCUGCUUUUGUGGGGUGCUCGAGUGGCGCACGGGUGAGUAACACGUGAGUAACCUGCCCUUGACUUUGUGAUAACUUCAGGAAACUGGGGCUAAUACCGGAUAGGAUCUCCUGCUGCAUGGUGGUGGUUGGAAAGUUUCGGCUGUUGGGGAUGGACUCGCGGGUUAUCAGUUUGUUGGUGGGGUAGUGGCUUACCAAGGCUUUGACGGGUAGCCGGCCUGAGAGGGUGAACGGCGACAUUGGGCCUGAGAUACGGCCCAGUAUCCUACGGGAGGCAGCAGUGGGGAAUAUUGCACAACGGGCGGAAGCCUGAUGCAGCAACGCCGCGUGCGGGAUGACGGCCUUCGGGUUGUAAACCGCUGUCGCCUGUGACGAAGCGUGCGUGACGGUAAUGGGUAAAGAAGCCCCGGCUAACUACGUG
This 468-nucleotide ribosomal RNA is filed under the name uncultured bacterium. RNAcentral's name for it is "partial 16S ribosomal RNA". It matches the Rfam family "Bacterial small subunit ribosomal RNA", at positions 28 to 507 of the family's 1533-position model. The record is from RNAcentral.